RNA transcript from Phragmites australis (common reed), 3097 nucleotides. It is a transcript of the gene named two-component response regulator ORR22-like, with no coding region annotated. The transcript is spliced from 7 exons. NCBI's taxonomy places the organism in Eukaryota, Viridiplantae, Streptophyta, Magnoliopsida, Poales, Poaceae. The record is from RefSeq and is a predicted model, not a curated record.
UGACUCCGUCUCCAUCCCCAUCUCCCUCUCAAAGCAGUCAUCUCACCACCUCGCGCUGUUGCUGUGGUUUGGUGCUGUUGUUGUGAGAGGCUGAGAGGAGUGAGCAGAGCACAGGGGGCUUUUGCAGCUUGCGUGCGUUCUUGGCCACCUGGGCGGUCGCUGUCUCUCACUCUCUCCUCUGCUUUUGCUGCCUUUUGGGCUCCUCCCUCCUUUUGGUUCCCCACCUCCUGCGCUCAACAAUGAUGGAGGCGUUGUGGGUUCGUUCUUUAAGUCUCCUAUCUCCCGUCGACAAAUCAACUUGCGCUUUUCUUUGGUUUCAGGUGUAGUUUUGUCAGCAGGUGUUGCUAGCUUUUGGGCCUUCGCUUUUUCAGCUUAUUGGAGUGCUUUCUUGGGGCGCCUCCGAAUCAGGCGGUGUUAGUGUGUACGGUUUGAGGCGAAGUUCCUCUUCCUUGUUCUUGUCUGCCAUUAGCUUCUCAGGAUUGGCUAUUUGGCUCAGUUUUCUCCAAACAGGUUCCAGGUUUCUUGCUUGGAACUGAGCCAAUUGGGAGGUUGUUCUUGGGGCCUAAAGUUGCUUCCAUUUGAGUUAGUACUCGAUAAAAAAAUGUUCUUGGGCUUGGUUCUUCGUUUCCUGCUCUGAAUCGGUGUGAAUUGGGAUGCUUCUGGGCGCUGUGAGGUUGGAGGAGAAGAAGGGAUCGAUGAUGGGGACUAGGGAGAGGGAUCAGUUCCCGGUCGGCAUGCGGGUCCUCGCGGUCGACGAUGACCCGGUGUGCCUCAAGGUUCUCGAGACCCUCCUGCGGCGCUGCCAAUACCAUGUAACAACAACCAACCAGGCCAUUACUGCGCUCAAGCUAUUACGGGAGAACAAGGAUAUGUUUGAUCUGGUUAUCAGUGACGUGCAUAUGCCCGACAUGGAUGGCUUUAAGCUCCUUGAGCUUGUAGGACUUGAAAUGGACCUCCCUGUCAUCAUGUUAUCCGUGAAUGGAGAGACAAAAUCCGUGAUGAAGGGGAUAACUCAUGGCGCCUGUGACUAUCUCCUAAAACCUGUUCGUAUCGAAGAGCUUAGGAAUAUAUGGCAGCAUGUUGUUAGGAGGAAGUUCAGUAAACGCGAAUGCAGUAAUCUUGAUAUCUACAAAGAAUUCAAUAAGCCACCAAUUGCAGAUUCAUGCCAUGGGCACAGUCAGAUUAUUGGGGCUCCUGACGAAAGUGGGAGGAUCAGCAAGAAGAGGAAGGAACUGCAUAGUGACGAGGAAGAUGACGGAGAGGAGAAUGAUUUUCAAGAUGGUGAUGAACCCUCAGCAGCCAAGAAGCCAAGAGUUGUUUGGUCAGUUGAACUGCAUCGGAAAUUUGUUGCGGCUGUCAACCAGCUUGGAAUUGAUAAAGCUGUACCAAAAAGAAUUCUUGAGCUUAUGAAUGUUGAGAAACUUACCAGAGAAAAUGUUGCGAGUCAUCUACAGAAAUACAGGCUCUACCUCAAACGUUUAAGUGCUGUGGCGUCACAGCAAGCUAGCAUUGUUGCUGCUCUUGGAGGUAGAGACCCCUCCUUUCUUCACAUGGGAGCAUUUGAAGGAUUUCACAGUUACCAACCUUUUUCCCUUCCUGCUGCUCUAUCAUCUUUCAACCCACACGGCUUGUUGGGUAGAAACAGCGCAACAGCAUUCCAGUUUCAGGAGCUUGCUCCUACCAAUACAAUUCAAACUGCUUCCAGCAAUUGCCCAAGAAGUCACUGUGCUGGUGAUACAAACAAAUUUCAGCUUGUUGGUUUACAAGAAAACCAACAAGCAAAUUUGGCACAAGGCUCGACCACAUCUCUCGGGCUGCCCCAACUCCAACAGAAGUGGAUCCAUCAAGAAAAUAAUGAGUUGUCCACUGUCUUUUCUGGGAGUGCACUGGCUAACACUAUGUCCAGUACACUACAAGGAGUUACAAGCAGUUCAUUGCUACCACAAGAACUUUUGGAAUGCACGCAAGUUAGUGUCCAGCCAUCAGUCAGGAUGCCAUCUGUGAGUUCAGAACUGCUUGAAAGGACUGUUGGAGUUUCGACUACUUUACGGGAUUCAAGUAUAUCCCAACAGGGUGGCCUUCCAAUAAAUGAUGGAUUUUCUAGUGACAAGUUACCAACGGACAAUCUGUUUGAGAGCACUGGUGCAACAAAAUUGGGUACUAGCUUUGUGGCUUCACAAAGAGAGAUAGACCAAAAUGGGAAAUUUUCAGUAAGCAGUAUCAGCGGCGGAGCUAGUUCUUCUGGCAGUACAUUGCUACUCCCUCCUUAUACCGAAAGACAUCCAAACUACAUGCAGUUCGGAGUUUCGAGCAAUGGAACUUUCAACCAUAAUGUUGGUGCCUGUAUGACUGAACAGAAAAAUUCAAGUGUGUCAUCUCUUAUGCCCCAAAUGAAGAUUCACACGUUAACAUCAGAAGAUAAACUGAAGCAGAAGAAUAUUCAUGAUUUGGGUAUUUCAAAGCUGAAUGGUGGUUUUAACUCUAGUAGCUGCAACUUUGACGGUCUCCUCAAUUCCAUGAUCAAAAUGGAGAAGGAUGAUAUCUCGUUCAUGGAUAAUGACCUGGGAUUUGACUUUUUUCCACUUGGUGCCUGCAUAUGAGAGCUAUUACUAUCUCUCUUGCAGAUUAGUCCUCUAGGGCAUUAGUCAGUUAUGCUGCCUAUGUCUAGUACUAUGCACUCUAGAUACUUGGGAUACAACUAGCUAAGGACAGUGGCUUGUACUUGUGCUUUCUCCUUUGGAAUGGAAAUGGAAGUGAUUAUGAUUAGAUGCUGGAGCUCAAACACCGCAUCAUUGUGUGGAAUGGAAAUGGAAGUGAUAACCUGAUGUUUGUCGCGCCCAGAAAUGCCAAAAACUGAAACUCCCACAUAACAGUUCUGGAAAGUUAGAAUGACAUAUAUGAGAAGUAAAAUCUGGAUACACCUGAGUUUAAGACUAAAGAGAUUAACUGCUGAUACAUGUGAUGGCACCAUUGUUUAGCUACUAAAGAUACAUGCUGUUGUUGGACCGAAUGGACUAAGAGAUUACAACUGCAAGCAAUGAUCUGAUAGAUGCUGUGAUCAUCAUCAUCCUACUCAAUAAAACCGCCCAUUUCUUGA